GACGAACGCUGGCGGCGUGCCUAAUACAUGCAAGUCGAACGCAGUGGGGACGGGUGAGUAACACGUGGGUAACCUCCCAUCAGAGGGGAUAACACUUGGAAACAGGUGCUAAACCGAUACUGAUGGAUGGUACCGCGGUGCAUUAGCUAGUUGGUGAGGUAACGGCUCACCAAGGCUACGAUGCAUAUCCUACCUGAGAGGGUGAUCGGCCCCACUGUGACUGAGACACGGCCCAGACUCCUACGGGAUGCAGCAUUAGGGCAUCUUCGGCAAUGGACGGAAUUCUGACCGAUUAACGCCGCGUGCGUGAAGAAGGUUUUCGGAUCGUAAAACUCUGUUGUUAGAGAUGCGGUAUCUAACCAGAAGGCGACGGCUAAAUACGUGCCAGCCGCCGCGGUAAUUC
RNAcentral lists this ribosomal RNA (403 nucleotides) under uncultured bacterium. Its description in RNAcentral is "partial 16S ribosomal RNA". It matches the Rfam family "Bacterial small subunit ribosomal RNA", at positions 28 to 526 of the family's 1533-position model. The record is from RNAcentral.